GCCCAUGUGUCGACAAACCACAGCCUGUGCACCUUAUUAGCUUUCUGCAGGUCCCUGCUAACUAAUGGUAUGUACCUGUCCAUCUGCAGAGCCAAAAAUAGCUACUUUUAAAGAACAGAAAGGAAUUCCUGCUGAGCCUGACAGAAGACAAGCCCACCAUGUGUCUGCCUGGUGCUGUGGAGUCCUGUGACAAAGGUGGCUUGAGGCAGUGCAUUUAUUUUCCAGCUGAUGUGCACUGAUAACCUGACCUCUACACUUACAAGAUUCAUGUAAUAUUUCACCGCUUACCUCAGCUUCUACUGGCUCCAUAUUCUAAACCCCCAUGUACAUCACAAAGGACCUUCCAAGCAGCUGACAGACAAAACACUUCUGACACCCAUUCUGGGUAGGAUAACACUUAAAUAUGAGAAGGAAAUACAAUGCUGCUCACUCCCCCAAAGUGCAAGCUAAUUUUAAAGUUAAUACUAAAGCAUCUACAUUUCUGACAAGUCUAAGAUUUCUGAGACCAGAGCAACAAAAGACAGUCAAAUGCAAGUUAGGAGGCUCUAGAGAAGUGUCUUAUCAGAUGCUACUUUUCAGUUUUAAUGAAACUUUCUGCAAAGUGGGAGCUGAGCUGCCUCCAUAUACCACUUCUCUUCUAGGAACUUCACUUGAAGUUAUGGACCUGCUUCCUUAUAUGCAGCCCUUCAUUUCCCCCCAGAAAAGACUUUUAUAUCAGGAAUAUAUAUAUAUAUAUAUAUUUUCUUCAAGAAUAUCUAUUUUCUUC
RNAcentral lists this long non-coding RNA (766 nucleotides) under Manacus vitellinus (golden-collared manakin). Its description in RNAcentral is "lncRNA (ENSMVIG00005011613.1)". Lineage: Eukaryota; Metazoa; Chordata; Aves; Passeriformes; Pipridae. The record is from RNAcentral.